Euleptes europaea (tarantolino) is the source of this 107-nucleotide small nuclear RNA. The record is from RefSeq and is a predicted model, not a curated record. NCBI's taxonomy places the organism in Eukaryota, Metazoa, Chordata, Lepidosauria, Squamata, Sphaerodactylidae.
GUGUUCACUUUGGCAGCACAUAGACUAAAACGGAACCAACACAGUGAAGGUUAGCAUAGCCCCUGUGCAAGGAUGAUACACAAAUCUAUGAAGCUCUCCAUAAACAA